CUUCACCGAGCCGAGCCAGAGCGGUCGUCCCUCCGGUCGCCCCUGCCCGUAGGUGGCCAGCAGCGCCUCGGCCUC
This 75-nucleotide antisense RNA is filed under the name Micromonospora griseorubida. RNAcentral describes it as "ASpks TB sRNA". It matches the Rfam family "ASpks TB sRNA". Lineage: Bacteria; Bacillati; Actinomycetota; Actinomycetes; Micromonosporales; Micromonosporaceae. The record is from Rfam by way of RNAcentral.